AUUUGGCGAACAGAAUGCUUGCAGGAGCAUUGGGCCCUGCUGUGGCGAAGUUCUGAAUAAGGUGGAACAAAGUAGAUAAAAACAAAAGGGCUUUUCUUUGUCAUUAACAGGUGUUCUCCACUGUCUAUCCAGCUCUCACCUGUGGUUACAUAAUGAAAGAACAACCGAAAAUGUUUUGUACAUUUCGUUUGGAUGGGAGUGCAUCAUUUCAUUUUGCGUCUUUUUGUCUUGUUUAUCAAGAAUAUUACCUGUUUACAUUCCCAUCCCGUUUCUUAUCAUGUAAAUUGAUAUACUUUACGGAUCACUUACAUUGGCUUGGAGAUGCUUGUGAACAAACUGCACUUAAGCAUGUGAGUCCAAUUUCUAAAUAUUGUAGAUCCAAUUAA
Molecule: long non-coding RNA, 386 nt
Organism: Stegostoma tigrinum
Lineage: Eukaryota; Metazoa; Chordata; Chondrichthyes; Orectolobiformes; Stegostomatidae
Exons: 3
Source: RefSeq, a predicted model, not a curated record